CCUACGGGUGGCAGCAGUGAGGAAUAUUGGUCAAUGGGCGCGAGCCUGAACCAGCCAAGUAGCGUGAAGGAUGACUGCCCUACGGGUCGUAAACUUCUUUUAUAAAGGAAUAAAGUGAGGCACGUGUGCCUUUUUGUAUGUACUUUAUGAAUAAGGAUCGGCUAACUCCGUGCCAGCAGCCGCGGUAAUACGGAGGAUCCGAGCGUUAUCCGGAUUUAUUGGGUUUAAAGGGAGCGUAGAUGGGUUGUUAAGUCAGUUGUGAAAGUUUGCGACUCAACCGUAAAAUUGCAGUUGAUACUGGCAGUCUUGAGUACAGUUGAGGUAGGCGGAAUGCGUGGUGUAGCGGUGAAAUGCUUAGAUAUCACGAAGAACCCCGAUUGCGAAGGCAGCUUGCUAACCUGUGACUGACAUUGAUGCACGAAAGUGUGGGUAUCAAACAGGAUUAGAUACCCCAGUAGUC
This 460-nucleotide ribosomal RNA is filed under the name uncultured bacterium. RNAcentral's name for it is "partial 16S ribosomal RNA". It matches the Rfam family "Bacterial small subunit ribosomal RNA", at positions 338 to 795 of the family's 1533-position model. The record is from RNAcentral.